Molecule: ribosomal RNA, 427 nt
Filed under: uncultured bacterium
Lineage: Bacteria
Description: partial 16S ribosomal RNA
Rfam family: Bacterial small subunit ribosomal RNA
Source: RNAcentral
UGGGGAAUAUUGGACAAUGGGCGAAAGCCUGAUCCAGCCAUGCCGCGUGUGUGAAGAAGGUCUUCGGAUUGUAAAGCACUUUAAGUUGGGAGGAAGGGCAUUAACCUAAUACGUUAGUGUUUUGACGUUACCGACAGAAUAAGCACCGGCUAACUCUGUGCCAGCAGCCGCGGUAAUACAGAAGGUGCAAGCGUUAAUCGGAAUUACUGGGCGUAAAGCGCGCGUAGGUGGGUUGUUAAGUUGGAUGUGAAAUCCCCGGGCUCAACCUGGGAACUGCAUUCAAAACUGACUGACUAGAGUAUGGUAGAGGGUGGUGGAAUUUCCUGUGUAGCGGUGAAAUGCGUAGAUAUAGGAAGGAACACCAGUGGCGAAGGCGACCACCUGGACUAAUACUGACACUGAGGUGCGAAAGCGUGGGGAGCAAACA